Molecule: long non-coding RNA, 773 nt
Organism: Canis lupus familiaris (dog)
Lineage: Eukaryota; Metazoa; Chordata; Mammalia; Carnivora; Canidae
Exons: 2
Source: RefSeq, a predicted model, not a curated record
UUCAAGAACAGAAGAUUCUGGUCACCAUAGAGAUGCCCCCCCUCAACUCUUCACCUCCUCCUAUCUUACACACUACUGCUUGAGACCCACACUCUGGAGAAUCAAGUAACCAAUGACAGCCCAUUUGUCUAGAUUCUUCGAAAUGCUACACCAAUACGGAGGAAACCCAGAUCUGCCUGAUAGGCAUCUUUUUAGAAGAUCCACUUACAUCAAAACCUUGCAAAGUCAUCCCUUUUGAGAAAUAUGCUGAGACUAAGGAUAAAGAGGAGAUGGGCAUUCCCCUAUAGUCCUUCAGGAACUAGGUGGCUCACGAUGCUUCAGUAGAACACCUCAAAAAGAGUAAAAAGGACUCCCUCAAGGAAAAAUUUACCAGCUCUGAGUUCUUCUCUAGGAUAUUUUAAAUUGGCUGUUUCAUGUUUGAACAUUCUAACGAAGAUGAAGUACUUGGAAGCCAAGCAGCUGCUGAGACAUCUGAGACAGUGUUGAAAUUCUUGAAGCUCAGCAUUAUAGAUAUAGGUAUACGGCUACUUACAGACUCAGAUGUUUCAACUACCAAAAACAAGUACUACAAGUAUGGAAGAGAAGCUUCACAGGCUCAAGGACCUAAUGCAUCACAAUUUCCAGAAGUCUUUAUUAUAGCCCGUGGCUCUCACACCUACAAAGACAACCAAGUGAGGCACGUCUGGCCUUACCUUGGGAUACUGCUUGACAGGUAUCAGUACCCGCUCCUUCAGCUUCAUGUUCUUAUGAGAAAAUAAAUCCAAGUAAUUCUC